GGAAAAGGUACUGGAUGACGGGCAGGCUCAGGGUCAGGGCAGGCAGGGGUCAGUAACCAGAGGUGGGGAAAAGGUACCGGAUGACGGGCAGGCUCAGGGUCAGGGCAGGCAGGGGUCAGUAACCAGAGGUGGGGAAACGUACCGGAUGACGGGCAGGCUCAGGGUCAGGGCAGGCAGGGGUCAGUAACCAGAGGUGGGGAAAAGGUACCGGAUGACGGGCAGGCUCAGGGUCAAGGCAGGCAGCGGUCAGUAACCAGAGGUGGGGAAAA
Molecule: long non-coding RNA, 269 nt
Organism: Oncorhynchus tshawytscha (Chinook salmon)
Lineage: Eukaryota; Metazoa; Chordata; Actinopteri; Salmoniformes; Salmonidae
Source: Ensembl